CGGGUGUAGCAAUACAUCAGUGGCAGACGGGUGAGUAACACGUGGGAACCUUCCUAGGGGUACGGAACAACUCAGGGAAACUUGAGCUAAUACCGUAUACGUCCGUAAGGAGAAAGAUUCAUCGCCCCUAGACGGGCCCGCGUCGGAUUAGCUAGUUGGUGGGGUAACGGCCUACCAAGGCGACGAUCCGUAGCUGAUCUGAGAGGAUGAUCAGCCACACUGGGACUGAGAUACGGCCCAGACUCCUACGGGAGGCAGCAGUGGGGAAUCUUGCGCAAUGGUCGAAAGACUGACGCAGCGACGCCGCGUGCGGGAGGAAGCCCUUCGGGGUGUAAACCGCUGUUACUCGGGACGAACUUCCCGAUUUGUCGGGAUUGACGGUACCGGGGGAGGAAGCACCGGCUAACUCUGUGCCAGCAGCCGCGGUAAUACAGAGGGUGCGAGCGUUGUCCGGAAUCACUGGGCGUAAAGGGCGCGUAGGCGGCUUCUCACGCGUGCGGUGAAAGCUCGGGGCUUAACUCCGAGUCUGCCGUGCGAACGGGGAGGCUUGAGUCUGGUAGAGGUCGAUGGAAUUCCGGGUGUAGCGGUGGAAUGCGUAGAGAUCCGGAAGAACACCGGUGGCGAAGGCGGUCGACUGGGCCAGUACUGACGCUGAGGCGCGACAGCGUGGGGAGCAAGCAGGAUUAGAUACCCUGGUAGUCCACGCCGUAAACGAUGGGCA
Molecule: ribosomal RNA, 721 nt
Filed under: uncultured Gemmatimonadota bacterium
Lineage: Bacteria; Pseudomonadati; Gemmatimonadota
Description: bacterial SSU rRNA
Rfam family: Bacterial small subunit ribosomal RNA
Source: RNAcentral